GGUAGCCGGCCUGAGAGGGGCCGGCCACACUGGGACUGAGAACGGCCCAGACUCCUACGGGAGGCAGCAGUGGGGAAUAUUGCACAAUGGGCGMAAGCCUGAGCAGCGACGCCGCGUGRGGGAUGACGGCCUUCGGGUUGUAAACCUCUUUCAGYAGGGACGAAGCGAAGUGACGUACCUCAGAAGAAGCACCGGCYAACUACGUGCCAGCAGCCGCGGUAAUACGUAGGGUGCGCGUUGUCCGGAAUUAUGGGCGUAAAGAGCUCGUAGGUGGUUUGUCGCGUYGUCGUGAAAUCCACACUCAANUGUGAGCGUGCGGGCGAUACGGGCAGACUGGAGUACUGCAGGG
Molecule: ribosomal RNA, 349 nt
Filed under: uncultured bacterium
Lineage: Bacteria
Description: bacterial SSU rRNA
Rfam family: Bacterial small subunit ribosomal RNA
Source: RNAcentral